AACGAACGCUGGCGGCAUGCCUAACACAUGCAAGUCGAACGAUCCCUCCGGGGAUAGUGGCGCAUGGGUGUGUCAAGCGUGGGAACCUGCCCUUAGGCUUGGAAUACCUCAGUGAAAUUUGAGAUAACAUCGGAAAAUGUCUUCGAACCAAAGAUUGAUCGCCUUUGUAUGGGCCCGCGUUGGUUUAGCUUGUUGGUGGGGUAAAGGCCUAUCACGGCGACGAUCCAUAGCUGGGUAGAGAGGAUGACCAGCCACACUUGGACGGAGACACGGCCCAGACUCCUACGGGAGGCAGCAGUGGGGAAUAUUGGACAAUGGGCUGAGUCCUGAUCCAGCAAUGCCGCGUGAGUGAUGAAGGCCUGAGGGUUGUAAAGCUCUUUUACCCGGGAUGAUAAUGACAGUACCGGGAGAAUAAGCCCCGGCUAACUCCGUG
This 433-nucleotide ribosomal RNA is filed under the name uncultured bacterium. RNAcentral describes it as "partial 16S ribosomal RNA". It matches the Rfam family "Bacterial small subunit ribosomal RNA", at positions 29 to 507 of the family's 1533-position model. The record is from RNAcentral.